Molecule: ribosomal RNA, 275 nt
Filed under: uncultured bacterium
Lineage: Bacteria
Description: partial 16S ribosomal RNA
Rfam family: Bacterial small subunit ribosomal RNA
Source: RNAcentral
CCUACGGGUGGCUGCAGUGGGGAAUAUUGGACAAUGGGCGCAAGCCUGAUCCAGCCAUGCCGCGUGUGUGAAGAAGGCCUUCGGGUUGUAAAGCACUUUUGUUCGGGAAGAAAUCGUGCGGAUUAAUACUUCGUACGGAUGACGGUACCGAAAGAAUAAGCACCGGCUAACUUCGUGCCAGCAGCCGCGGUAAUACGAAGGGUGCAAGCGUUACUCGGAAUCACUGGGCGUAAAGCGUGCGUAGGCGGUUGGUUAAGUCUGCUGUGAAAGCCCUG